CGGCAGGCCUAAACACAUGCAAGUCGAGCGGUAACAGGUCCAGCUUGCUGGACGCUGACGAGCCGCGGACGGGUGAGUAAUGCAUAGGAAUCUACCCAGUCGUGGGGGAUAACCUGGGGAAACCCAGGCUAAUACCGCAUACGUCCUACGGGAGAAAGCGGGGGCUCUUCGGACCUCGCGCGAUUGGAUGAGCCUAUGUCGGAUUAGCUGGUUGGUGGGGUAACGGCUCACCAAGGCGACGAUCCGUAGCUGGUCUGAGAGGAUGAUCAGCCACACUGGGACUGAGACACGGCCCAGACUCCUACGGGAGGCAGCAGUGGGGAAUAUUGGACAAUGGGCGAAAGCCUGAUCCAGCCAUGCCGCGUGUGUGAAGAAGGCUUUCGGGUUGUAAAGCACUUUCAGUGGGGAAGAAGGCUUGUCGGCCAA
RNAcentral lists this ribosomal RNA (426 nucleotides) under Chromohalobacter israelensis. Its description in RNAcentral is "bacterial SSU rRNA". It matches the Rfam family "Bacterial small subunit ribosomal RNA", at positions 40 to 463 of the family's 1533-position model. Lineage: Bacteria; Pseudomonadati; Pseudomonadota; Gammaproteobacteria; Oceanospirillales; Halomonadaceae. The record is from RNAcentral.